UACGUAGGGUGCAAGCGUUAAUCGGAAUUACUGGGCGUAAAGCGUGCGCAGGCGGUUAUGCAAGACAGAUGUGAAAUCCCCGGGCUCAACCUGGGAACUGCAUUUGUGACUGCAUGGCUAGAGUACGGUAGAGGGGGAUGGAAUUCCGCGUGUAGCAGUGAAAUGCGUAGAUAUGCGGAGGAACACCGAUGGCGAAGGCAAUCCCCUGGACCUGUACUGACGCUCAUGCACGUAAGCGUGGGGAGCAAACAGG
Molecule: ribosomal RNA, 253 nt
Filed under: uncultured bacterium
Lineage: Bacteria
Description: partial 16S ribosomal RNA
Rfam family: Bacterial small subunit ribosomal RNA
Source: RNAcentral